AAUUUCAUACCAUGACCAACCGCUUCACACCCUAUCAAUUAUACCACAUACCUAGCUAAUCUCUUCCAGAUCACCACUUAGUAGGUCUCUUCCAAAUCCGUUCCGUACAGUUAUUCAUAAUCAUAAUAGUGGUACUUCCCAAACUUGCUUAAACUGAGCAUGGUCUACCAGGUUGGUUUUCCCACGCGUCUGACUUCCAUGAACU
Molecule: long non-coding RNA, 205 nt
Filed under: Lathyrus oleraceus (garden pea)
Lineage: Eukaryota; Viridiplantae; Streptophyta; Magnoliopsida; Fabales; Fabaceae
Description: Pisum sativum (pea) long non-coding RNA (PSAT_LNC041255)
Source: RNAcentral